RNAcentral lists this unclassified non-coding RNA (222 nucleotides) under Hevea brasiliensis (rubber tree). Lineage: Eukaryota; Viridiplantae; Streptophyta; Magnoliopsida; Malpighiales; Euphorbiaceae. The record is from RNAcentral.
AUAUACAUAUAUAGACAGUGAAAUAUUUUGAAGGUGCUUGUGGCUUUUAUGUCGAUCAUUUUGUCCUUGCAUCUUGGCCCGGUAUCUUUGUUUCCUAUAGGGGGUUGUUUAUGGUUCUGUUGUUAGCACAUAGAGUUGAAUGGGAUUGCGAGGAUAUGAAUGGCUUUAUUUAUGUUGCACAAUUGACAGUUGAAAAAUAUUUCACUGUCUAUAUAUGUAUAU